Molecule: long non-coding RNA, 715 nt
Organism: Papaver somniferum (opium poppy)
Lineage: Eukaryota; Viridiplantae; Streptophyta; Magnoliopsida; Ranunculales; Papaveraceae
Exons: 4
Source: RefSeq, a predicted model, not a curated record
CUUCUUUCGUUUUCGUCGUGCUUGCCUCUCUUUCUCUUAUAAUACACAGCCAUUGGAUUCAUCGCUGCAAUUGAAUCUUCACCCAGAUUUCAAGCAAUUUCCAGACAAUCAAUGAGGGAGAUGAAGAAUUGCAGUGGUAUAGAAAGGAAUUGGGACCAACGAAUGAGGCGAAACAUGUAACUGUUAUGGAAGCAGUCACAUCAAUUCAACCAAAUAGAAUUUGCUCCCUCCUGUAUCGUUAUCAUCCAACUCUCCUUGAAACCUAGCUUCACGCUCUCUUUCUGGCUGCAAGAAAAUCACAAGUCAGAAAUUCUGGAGACCCCCAUAGUUAUAGUACAAGUUUUUAGUGAUUUUUUCUUGGACAAAAGAUAGAGAUAUACUGAAGAAGAAGCAGUCAGAAAGUAAGCAAAUUACAACAAUCCAAAAGCAGAAAGGAGUUAGCUACAGAACAGCCUCAAGAGUCAAGACCCCCCAAAAACCAAAAACGUUUAUAAUUCUAGGAACACUUGAUAACAAAAGAUCUCAGCCCCAAAUGUUUUUUGGAGUGGUAUUUUUGAUUUAUUAUCUUCUAAAUGAAAUUGUUUGAAUGUCCAUAUUUUUCGGAAAAUGAAAAUGAAAAAUGCAUAUGACAGAGAUAUUUGUUUGCCGACGUGUACUCCACUUGUGAUUUUUAAGAAGGUUAUGAAUGUGAUCCAGCCAGAGGCCCGGAUCAUAG